RNAcentral lists this non-coding RNA (24 nucleotides) under Arabidopsis thaliana (thale cress). The record is from RNAcentral. Lineage: Eukaryota; Viridiplantae; Streptophyta; Magnoliopsida; Brassicales; Brassicaceae.
CACUCCAUUACACUCGACCACACC